AUAUAUGGCCAUACCACCCUGAACGCGCCCAAUCUCGGAAGCUAAGGAGAGUCAGGCCCAGUUAGUACUUGGAUGGGAGACCACAAUUU
RNAcentral lists this ribosomal RNA (89 nucleotides) under Tupaia belangeri (northern tree shrew). The record is from RNAcentral. Lineage: Eukaryota; Metazoa; Chordata; Mammalia; Scandentia; Tupaiidae.